RNAcentral lists this ribosomal RNA (501 nucleotides) under uncultured bacterium. RNAcentral's name for it is "bacterial SSU rRNA". It matches the Rfam family "Bacterial small subunit ribosomal RNA", at positions 791 to 1294 of the family's 1533-position model. The record is from RNAcentral.
UAGUCCACGCCGUAAACGAUGAUCACUCGAUAUUGGCUUCGGUCAGUGUCCAAGCGAAAGUGAUAAGUGAUCCACCUGGGGAGUACGCCGGCAACGGUGAAACUCAAAGGAAUUGACGGGGGCCCGCACAAGCGGUGGAGCAUGUGGUUUAAUUCGAUGAUACGCGAGGAACCUUACCUAGGCUCGAACGCUAUUCGACAUCACCUGAAAGGGUGUUUCUCUUCGGAGUGGAUAGUGAGGUGCUGCAUGGUUGUCGUCAGCUCGUGCCGUGAGGUGUUGGGUUAAGUCCCGCAACGAGCGCAACCCUUAUUCUUAGUUGCCAGCAUGUAAUGAUGGGGACUCUAGGAAGACUGCCGGCGUAAGCCGUGAGGAAGGUGGGGACGACGUCAAAUCAUCAUGGGCCUUUAUGCCUAGGGGCUACACACGUGCUACAAUGGUGCAUACAGCGGGGUAGCGAAAUCGCGAGGGUGGGAGCUAAUCUUGUAAAGUGCAUCCCAGUUC